CAUGCAAGUCGAACGAUGAACNAGGAGCUUGCUCCUGGGNUUAGUGGCGAACGGGUGAGUAACACGUGAGUAACCUGCCCUUGACUCUGGGAUAAGCGUUGGAAACGACGUCUAAUACCGGAUAUGAGCUGCGGCCGCAUGGUCUGCAGUUGGAAAGAAUUUUGGUCAAGGAUGGACUCGCGGCCUAUCAGGUAGUUGGUGAGGUAAUGGCUCACCAAGCCUACGACGGGUAGCCGGCCUGAGAGGGUGACCGGCCACACUGGGACUGAGACACGGCCCAGACUCCUACGGGAGGCAGCAGUGGGGAAUAUUGCACAAUGGGCGCAAGCCUGAUGCAGCAACGCCGCGUGAGGGACGACGGCCUUCGGGUUGUAAACCUCUUUUAGUAGGGAAGAAGCGAAAGUGACGGGUACCUGCAGAAAAAGCACCGGCUAACUACGUGCCAGCAGCCGCGGUAAUACGUAGGGUGCAAGCGUUGUCCGGAAUUAUUGGGCGUAAAGAGCUCGUAGGCGGUUUGUCGCGUCUGCUGUGAAAUCUGGGGGCUCAACCCCCAGCCUGCAGUGGGUACGGGCAGACUAGAGUGCGGUAGGGGAGAUUGGAAUUCCUGGUGUAGCGGUGGAAUGCGCAGAUAUCAGGAGGAACACCGAUGGCGAAGGCAGAUCUCUGGGCCGUAACUGACGCUGAGGAGCGAAAGCAUGGGGAGCGAACAGGAUUAGAUACCCUGGUAGUCCAUGCCGUAAACGUUGGGAACUAGAUGUAGGGGCCAUUCCACGGUUUCUGUGUCGCAGCUAACGCAUUAAGUUCCCCGCCUGNGGGAGUACGGCCGCAAGGCUAAAACUCAAAGGAAUUGACGGGGGCCCGCACAAGCGGCGGAGCAUGCGGAUUAAUUCGAUGCAACGCGAAGAACCUUACCAAGGCUUGACAUAUACCGGAAACGUCCAGAGAUGGUCGCCCCGCAAGGUCGGUAUACAGGUGGUGCAUGGUUGUCGUCAGCUCGUGUCGUGAGAUGUUGGGUUAAGUCCCGCAACGAGCGCAACCCUCGUUCUAUGUUGCCAGCACGUUAUGGUGGGAACUCAUAGGAGACUGCCGGGGUCAACUCGGAGGAAGGUGGGGAUGACGUCAAAUCAUCAUGCCCCUUAUGUCUUGGGCUUCACGCAUGCUACAAUGGCCGAUACAAAGGGCUGCAAUACCGCGAGGUGGAGCGAAUCCCAAAAAGUCGGUCUCAGUUCGGAUUGAGGUCUGCAACUCGACCUCAUGAAGUCGGAGUCGCUAGUAAUCGCAGAUCAGCAACGCUGCGGUGAAUACGUUCCCGGGCCUUGUACACACCGCCCGUCAAGUCAUGAAAGUCGGUAACACCCGAAGCCGGUGGCCCAACCCUUGUGGAGGGAGCNGUNNCNAAGGUGGGAUCGNNGAUUNNGANUAAGUCGUAACAAGGUAACC
This 1440-nucleotide ribosomal RNA is filed under the name Frigoribacterium faeni. RNAcentral describes it as "bacterial SSU rRNA". It matches the Rfam family "Bacterial small subunit ribosomal RNA". The record is from RNAcentral. Lineage: Bacteria; Bacillati; Actinomycetota; Actinomycetes; Micrococcales; Microbacteriaceae.